Molecule: long non-coding RNA, 2931 nt
Filed under: Coffea arabica (coffee)
Lineage: Eukaryota; Viridiplantae; Streptophyta; Magnoliopsida; Gentianales; Rubiaceae
Description: long non-coding RNA (CARA_LNC007350)
Source: RNAcentral
CAUUUUCCUAGGCAACUAACUGCUAAAUUCCAAGCGGUGGCUGAGGAAAGAAAUAGAAGGUUGCUUGCAAAGUCCAAGCGGCGACCGACCGAAAACAAGGAGAAGCUAUCUGCCAAUAUCUUUGGGCGGUGGCCGAGAGGAAAACAAAAACUUCAAUUCCUUUCCUUUCCAACCCAACACCGAGAGUAAAACUGAGAGAGUGGGAUAGAAGGGUUAGCUAGCUUCAUCACCAACUAACCAAAAACAAGGAGGAGUACAGCGAGGAAAGCAGGAGAAGCUCGAGCUAGGACCUUGAGGAACCGAAUCAGGGAGAGCUAGAGCAGUCGGCAAUUUCAGAUUCUAAGAAGAAAAUAAAAAGGUAAAAUUUUGUAAACCUCCUGCUUAUUUAGUGUAAUUGAAUGUUUAAGCUGUGUAUAAACUUUAGCUAGGAAAAAUGAGUUCUUGGUUGGAAAAAGAAACUUUGUGCAGAACCGAAUGGCAGCUGGGAAGAAAAUUGCAGAAAUGGGGAAUGGAAACUGGAAAUUGUAGCUUGUUAUCAAUGUUUCUUUGGAGAAUAAUGAUAGGAAAUGCAUGUUAUACAUUACCUUAAGUUUUAUAAGAGGUUUAAUCAGCUAAACAUGGGCUUUAUACGUUGGGUUUAGCUACGAAAUCAGUUCUGGUUCAAGGAAAACAGUAUACAUCAGAAAUGGUAAGUAAGAGCAGAAAUGAGCUAUGGUUCUGUUUAGCUCUUGAAAUUAGUGACACGUUUUGUUCAGUCUUGAGUUAUACCUUACAUGCUAGCUGUAACCUGAGACUGAAGGGGAAUCCUAAGGAACUUACAAAUGAUAUCUUGUUGAUAUACGCGUGCGAAAGCAUGCAAAUCUGAUGCAUGCAUGGCUGCACCAGAUUUGCAGCUAGCUGCAGAAACGAAAACGAACUCAGUUUUUUUUUUUUUUUUCCUCCUUUGAAUCCUGGCCAUGAACGACCUUGUUUAGCUUAGGAUAACCUGCAACAAACAAGGUUAAAGCAAGUAGAAAACUGAAGUGAACAAUGGACGACUCAUGACUGCACAAAAAGACCUCAUUGCUCCUUUCCUGUUUUCAUGUGGUUCUGGUCGUCCACUUUUGACCCUGAAAACGUGGGAACUGGAUGUCAAUGUCUUCAUAAGAAAUGUAGGUCUAUGUUUUAGCUUCGAAAUGCUAUAAAAUUCGCCUCAAUCCGAUAAGCGUAGCUCCAAUUAUGAUCAAAAUACCCGAGGAUGGCAAAGCUGCCUUUCCUUUUGUUCCCGAAUGCACUUUGCGAAGAUGCUAACCGUGAGAAACCAACUUUUAACUAACAUUUCUUCUAAUUUCCAAUCUUGUAAGCUUUCAUAAGUGAUAGCUACGAUUGUCCUAGGAUUUAAUGGCUAUACCUAGUUCCACGAGUAGAGUUAAACUAAGGUGAUUGAGUGACAAGUCACGAUAGUUGUAUAUGUAAAGUGGCUUCUAAUUAUUUAAUAUUGUUCUCAUGAAUAUUUUAAAGACUACUACUUUGAGGGGCUGGUAUAGUGGAAUAAAAACUUAAUUUCCAAAUAACUUAGAGUCUAAUUAAUUAAAAGGGAACCAAUGAAAUACUUCUAAGCCUUAAUUUUGGAAUCUUGAGUGGAAAAUGAUUUCAUCCUAAAAUAAAUAUCUUAUAAAUUAUUAACUUGGGGAAAACAGGUAUAAUUCUUUAUUAAAAAAAUAAAGUCAAUAAGUUUUAAAAUAAAAUGAUAAAUGAAUAUUGAAUAUGUUAUAUUUUGUACUUUAAAGUCAAACUUGAUUUUAAUAGUUCAAGUGAUAAAGUAAGAACAAUAAGUGAACAUCUACAAACUAUGUAUUUGAUUUGGAAUUAUGAACUUGUCCAGUAAGUAGCUGUGAACCAGAAAACCGACUCGAGACUCGAGAGUAAUUUAUUUGAUAUUUGGUGAGUGUUUUCCGAAUUUAUAUGUUAAACUGCUUAUGUGUACUUAAGUGAAAUUAUAUGACAAAUGUACGUAUUAUGAAAUAUUGCUAAGUGAUCCAUUACAAAGUGUAUCUCAAUUGUCCCUCGCUUUCUAAGUCGGGAGUGUACUUUAUCGCGCUUGGCUUAGUUAAGCUUGAAGGUUGAUAAUUGAUCAAGUGAUAUUGUAAGUGUGCAUGACUAUAAGCCAUGUAUGUACUUUAUCACACUGACUGAACUGGGCCCCAAAACCCUCUGUUCUGCGAACUAUUCGAGCCAGCAAAGGGCUUGGUCGAGUAGGACGGUAGCUUUAGGUAAGUGUUCGGUAUACUCGAGUAUUACCACAGAGUAGCAGAUCACUGAUAUUGAUAUGGCCAUCUAAGUGAGGGAAGUGUUUACUGUUUUGGAGGUUAUAAGGAGGAGUUCGGCGGAGUGUGUAGUGCAUUAAAGUGGCUCUAAUGCGAGUACCGUAUCCUUUUAAAAGUGAUUGUUCAGUGAAGUGUUUUCUCAAUUGCUUAAUAAAAGUGAUUGUACAGUAAAAUAUGUAUUACUUGCUUAAUUGUACUGAUUUAAGUGCUUAUUGAUUGUUGCUUGCAUGGAAACCUCACGGGCGUAAGUUCACCCUUUUAGCUUUGUUUUCCUUACAGGAGUUGGAGAUUGAAGAGUGAUUCGAUUGAACUAGAAAGUUAUUUUGGGAAGAUGCAUUACUCUGUGUACAUAGUGUAGUCAUGGUUUCUUUUGAAUUUUGAGACAGUUAAAUCUUUUGUUUGAGUUGGUGUGAUAUUAAGAAUGGAUAUUUAGAACAGCUAUUUUGUUUCUUUUAUUGGACAAAUUUAUGUUUCAAAUUGAUUGGAGAUGUACUUAAGAGUGAAUGUUCAGUUGUUCAAUGGUAAUGUUAUCUUUGAAGUUAAUGUGAGUGAGUGAGUCCUGGCGAGAGCCAGACAGGCGAUCCGCUAACUUCUAGGGUAUGCCCAAAGAGAAGGUGGCGUUGUC